This 468-nucleotide ribosomal RNA is filed under the name uncultured bacterium. RNAcentral's name for it is "partial 16S ribosomal RNA". It matches the Rfam family "Bacterial small subunit ribosomal RNA", at positions 28 to 507 of the family's 1533-position model. The record is from RNAcentral.
GACGAACGCUGGCGGCGUGCUUAACACAUGCAAGUCGAACGGAAAGGCCCUGCUUUUGUGGGGUGCUCGAGUGGCGAACGGGUGAGUAACACGUGAGUAACCUGCCCUUGACUUUGGGAUAACUUCAGGAAACUGGGGCUAAUACCGGAUAGGAGCUCCUGCUGCAUGGUGGGGGUUGGAAAGUUUCGGCGGUUGGGGAUGGACUCGCGGCUUAUCAGCUUGUUGAUGGGGUAGUGGCUUACCAAGGCUUUGACGGGUAGCCGGCCUGAGAGGGUGACCGGCCACCUUGGGACUGAGAUACGGCCCAGACUCCUACGGGAGGCAGCAGUGGGGAAUAUUGCACAAUGGGCGGAAGCCUGAUGCAGCAACGCCGCGUGCGGGAUGACGGCCUUCGGGUUGUAAACCGCUUUCGCCUGUGACGAAGCGUGAGUGACGGUAAUGGGUAAAGAAGCACCGGCUAACUACGUG